This 453-nucleotide ribosomal RNA is filed under the name uncultured Anoxybacillus sp. RNAcentral's name for it is "bacterial SSU rRNA". It matches the Rfam family "Bacterial small subunit ribosomal RNA", at positions 929 to 1382 of the family's 1533-position model. Lineage: Bacteria; Bacillati; Bacillota; Bacilli; Caryophanales; Anoxybacillaceae. The record is from RNAcentral.
GCGGUGGAGCAUGUGGUUUAAUUCGAAGCAACGCGAAGAACCUUACCAGGUCUUGACAUCCCUGACAACCCGAGAGAUCGGGCGUUCCCCUUCGGGGGACAGGGUGACAGGUGGUGCAUGGUUGUCGUCAGCUCGUGUCGUGAGAUGUUGGGUUUAAGUCCCGCAACGAGCGCAACCCUCGACCUUAGUUGCCAGCAUUCAGUUGGGCACUCUAAGGUGACUGCCGGCUAAAAGUCGGAGGAAGUGGGGAUGACGUCAAAUCAUCAUGCCCCUUAUGACCUGGGCUACACACGUGCUACAAUGGGCGGUACAAAGGGUCGCGAACCCGCGAGGGGGAGCCAAUCCCAAAAAGCCGCUCUCAGUUCGGAUUGCAGGCUGCAACUCGCCUGCAUGAAGCCGGAAUCGCUAGUAAUCGCGGAUCAGCAUGCCGCGGUGAAUACGUUCCCGGGCCUU